Dermochelys coriacea (leatherback sea turtle) is the source of this 518-nucleotide long non-coding RNA. RefSeq lists it as uncharacterized. The record is from RefSeq and is a predicted model, not a curated record. The transcript is spliced from 3 exons. NCBI's taxonomy places the organism in Eukaryota, Metazoa, Chordata, Testudines, Dermochelyidae.
CUAUAUAAGGAGGAGAGAGAGCUAUGCCAAUCCUUUAGCUCCCAGGGUAGGGAGCUGCUGUGUUGAUCCCGGGGAAGGGAGCCUGGCUGGAUGGAGAAGAUCAGGGACCCAGGGCCAUCACCAACUCCAGUGGGCCGUUUGCUCUGGGGGCAGACGUGGCUUCAGACCUGAGAUCAAUGGAGCAUCUGUGAAGACAGUGGCAAAGCCAGUCAUCAAGAUGCAAUCACCUACCAGCUGACGCUCUGAGGGAGCUCGAUUUCCCUGCCUCUGCUUAAGGGAGCUGAGCGAGGAUCCCCGCUUGAGUGCAAAGGACGGGAGGGGACGAGAGCUGGCUGCUGGAAGGAGUCGGGGUCUCACCUGGAGUCUGGCUGGGCAGAGAUGGAGCCAGAACAUGGGUUCACUGCAGCUUAGCUGGGCUCUGGGUUGACCAGGAGGCUCUGUGCUUUCACUGUUCUCUGUGCCACCCUGGGGGUUUCCUGGGCAGUGCUAGGUGACUAAUAAACCAACUGUUUUGCCAA